Molecule: ribosomal RNA, 772 nt
Filed under: uncultured bacterium
Lineage: Bacteria
Description: bacterial SSU rRNA
Rfam family: Bacterial small subunit ribosomal RNA
Source: RNAcentral
GAUGAACGCUGGCGGCGUGCUUAACACAUGCAAGUCGAACGGGAUCCACCGGGCUUUGCUUGGUGGUGAGAGUGGCGAACGGGUGAGUAAUGCGUGACCGACCUGCCCCAUACACCGGAAUAGCUCCUGGAAACGGGUGGUAAUGCCGGAUGCUCCAGUUGAUCGCAUGGUCUUCUGGGAAAGCUUUCGCGGUAUGGGAUGGGGUCGCGUCCUAUCAGCUUGACGGCGGGGUAACGGCCCACCGUGGCUUCGACGGGUAGCCGGCCUGAGAGGGCGACCGGCCACAUUGGGACUGAGAUACGGCCCAGACUCCUACGGGAGGCAGCAGUGGGGAAUAUUGCACAAUGGGCGCAAGCCUGAUGCAGCGACGCCGCGUGAGGGAUGGAGGCCUUCGGGUUGUAAACCUCUUUUAUCGGGGAGCAAGCGAGAGUGAGUUUACCCGUUGAAUAAGCACCGGCUAACUACGUGCCAGCACCCGCGGUAAUACGUAGGGUGCAAGCGUUAUCCGGAAUUAUUGGGCGUAAAGGGCUCGUAGGCGGUUCGUCGCGUCUGGUGUGAAAGUCCAUCGCUUAACGGUGGAUCCGCGCCGGGUACGGGCGGGCUUGAGUGCGGUAGGGGAGACUGGAAUUCCCGGUGUAACGGUGGAAUGUGUAGAUAUCGGGAAGAACACCAAUGGCGAAGGCAGGUCUUUGGGCCGUUACUGACGCUGAGGAGCGAAAGCGUGGGGAGCGAACAGGAUUAGAUACCCUGGUAGUCCACGCCGUAAACGGGG